GGAUGAAGGGAGUAGCCUUUUUACUUUUUUCUUUUUUUCUCUAACCACCUCUUUAACCACCGAGAGGUUGAAAGAUAUCAGAAGCGCACCUCCUUUUUUUUCUAUCCAAAUACAUAUCACGCAACAUGGAAAAAAGAUGUAGGUGGACACGUGUGCCAAUGAAACAUUUCAGAUGACUUCAAGAGAGAUGAGAAAUCAUAGGGAAAAUAAGCGGUGGCAGUUUUUUUUUGUUUUCUGUUGGUACUUCGCUUGACCACCGAGAUGCUAGAAGAAAAUAUAAAAGGCCCCUCUUUUUUCUCCCUUUUAUUAUCUAGAACAGAGUACACAGCGGGCAGCACAAAUAAUUGAGAAAGAAAACACAAACAGGGUGCAAGUGGACACGUGACCCAAGAGAUAUUUUUAACUGCACACUGUAGCAGUAGGUGGAGUGAAUUUGGAGCGUUGAUCGAAGAAUCCAAUGGCUAAGAAUUUUGGGAUGACGUGUCCCAUGUAGGCUGCGCCCUUCAACCUGGCCAUUGUAGAGAGUACUAGUAAAGUUGAGCUAUGCUAAAUAAGACCUAAUUAGACUUAAAAAAUUCAUCACACAAGUUACAUGUAAACCAUAUAAUUAAUUAUUAUUUUUAUCUAUAUACAAUAUUAGAAACUUUUUUUUUAAGUAAACCAGGCCUGAAUAUCCGCUUGCGCAGUGGCGGUUGCUCCCUCGCCUGCGGAAGCGAUCCGUGGAACCCCUGGCUCGAAGAAGUGCCCAUGAUUCCAUAACCUCAUCACCUUCACUUGCUACUAGUGGAUUGUGCGCGCCCCGGCGCGCAAGAGCAAAUGAUACAACGGUGUUUUGAGCAAUACUAAAAAUAAAUAAUGAUAUAUGUUGAAAAUAUUAAAUAUCAUAGUCAUGCUUAUUAACAAUCAUCGAGUUUGUCAACCGGUACAUGGAAGGAUAGUAUGGCCUUGUUUAGUUCCUAAAAUAUUUUGCAAAAUUUUUCGCAUUCCCAUCACAUUUAAUCUUGCGGCACAUGCACGAAACACUAAAUAUAGAUAAAAGAAAUAACUAAUUACACAAUUUAUCUGUAAUUUGUGAGAAGAAUCUUUUGAGUCUAGUUAGUCCAUGAUUGGACAAUAGUUGUCAAAUACAAACGAAAGUGCUAUUGUUCAUAUUUUGCAAAAAAAAUUGGAACUAAACAAGGCAUAUGUUACAAAAGUAUUGUACACCUGCGAUGAUAUGGCAUAAGGUAAAAGCAGUCUUCGGUUGGCUAAAAACAUAGUGUUUAUUUUGUGUUUCUUUUCAAGCUGCAUAGAAGGAUGAUCAGUAGUUCAUGCUGCGGUCGGAUUCGCAGCUAAAUUCAUGUUCGCUUGAGUUCCGCACCGGCGAAAAUCUUUCUAUAUCUGAGAAAAUAUGAAACUAUUUAGGAAAUCUAGAUGUAUGAUCUUACUUUUUUUAUGACUGGGUUAGAGAGUUUGUAAUACGUGCCUCUUACAUGUAGGCUUUGAGUAUUGGUGGAUAGUUUAGAAGAAGAAAGCAUAGAUUUAACAAGAAUAAAGCUAAAAAAAUGUUAUACCUAAUCCAAUGAGUACGAAACUUUUACCAUUGUUCAAACAUAUAAUAAUGAGCCCACUAUAAAAAUUUUACCACAAAUGAACAAUAUGAAGUACAUAUAUGAUUUGUUCUUAUUAAUUAUAGAAAAACAUAGAUUUAAAGCUACAACAAAAACUUUGUACUAAAGCCUUGUUUAGUUCACCUCCAAAACCAAAAACUUUUCAAGAUUCCCUGUCACAUCGAAUGUUGCGGCACAUGCAUGGAGCAUUAAAUAUAGAUGAAAACAAAAACUAAUUGCACAGUUUGCCUGUAAAUCGUGAGACGAGUCUUUUAAACCUAGUUACUCUAUAAUUGGACAAUGUUUGUCAAAUAAAAACGAAAGUGCUACAGUGUUAGAAUCCCAAAAAAUUUUAGAUCUAAACAACGCCUAAAGUAUAUCAUAUUAUAUAUUCAUUCCGUAGAUCUACUCAUCAGGACCCCAACAAAAUUGAAUUUUUUAUUUUAUAUUUUUUUUGAUUUACUACAAUUUUUAAAAUAUUCAGCGGAAAUAAAUAAAUAAAAGACAAAACCACCCUCUAAAAUCACGGGUUAUUUAACCGGUUUUAAAAAUUCAGGGUGUAGAAUAUCCGGUUUAUAGUUUAGGGAUGAAGUAUUACACCCUAAAUAGUUUGAGGGGUUAAUCUGCAUCCCACAAAUAAUUGCAUUUCUUCGACUUCUAUGAUUCAUGUUUGACCGUCCGUCUUAUUCAAAAAUAUAAUAAAUAUUAUUUUUUUAUUUAUGACUUAUUUUGUUGUUAGAUAAAUUUUUAUAAUGAUUUAUUUAUUUUAUCGUUUGAUAAAAAAUAAAUAAGAUGAAUAGUCAAACAUGAAUCGUAGCAGUCAAGAAAUGCAUUUAUUUUUGGGAUGAAGGGAGUAGCCUUUUUACUUUUUUCUUUUUUUUCUCUAACCACCUCUUUAACCACCGAGAGGUUGAAAGAUAUCAGAAGCGCACCUCCUUUUUUUUCUAUCCAAAUACAUAUCACGCAACAUGGAAAAAAGAUGUAGGUGGACACGUGUGCCAAUGAAACAUUUCAGAUGACUUCAAGAGAGAUGAGAAAUCAUAGGGAAAAUAAGCGGUGGCAGUUUUUUUUUUCUGUUGGUACUUCGCUUGACCACCGAGAUGCUAGAAGAAAAUAUAAAAGGCCCCUCUUUUUUCUCCCUUUUAUUAUCUAGAACAGAGUACACAGCGGGCAGCACAAAUAAUUGAGAAAGAAAACACAAACAGGGUGCAAGUGGACACGUGACCCAAGAGAUAUUUUUAACUGCACACUGUAGCAGUAGGUGGAGUGAAUUUGGAGCGUUGAUCGAAGAAUCCAAUGGCUAAGAAUUUUGGGAUGACGUGUCCCAUGUAGGCUGCGCCUUUCAACCUGGCCAUUGU
This 2947-nucleotide long non-coding RNA is filed under the name Sorghum bicolor (sorghum). RNAcentral describes it as "long non-coding RNA (SBIC_LNC000218)". Lineage: Eukaryota; Viridiplantae; Streptophyta; Magnoliopsida; Poales; Poaceae. The record is from RNAcentral.